AUGCCAUUUAUUCUGAUGACACAUCGCCUUACGUCUAUCUGUCACUGCUYUUAUUGAUUACAGGGCUGCCGUAAUUUGACUGUACAAAGGUAUCAUAAUCAUCAGGCUUUUAAUUGGAGACUUGUAUGAAAGAUUUGAUGAAAUAUAAACUGUCUCCAAUUUAUUAUUAUCAGAAUUUAAUUUUUUAGUUAAAAAGCUAAAAUAAAUUUAAAAGACGAGAAGACCCUAUAAAGUUUAAUAGUUUUUAAUUUAAAAUAUUUAUAUAAGAUUUUAAUAUUUAAUUUUAUAAAUUAUUUGGCUGGGGUGAUAAAAAAGUAAAAAAAACUUUUUUUUUAAAUUUACAAACAUCAGUGAAUCAGUGACCCAUUUUAAUGAUUAUAAGAAAAAAUUACCUUAGGGAUAACAGCGUAAAUUGGCUCUGUAAAUGUGUCUAAAUGUAACUAAGUGCUCAAUACUUACUACCAGGUAAAAACCACACUAUGUUUUUUGAUAAACAGGCG
This 500-nucleotide ribosomal RNA is filed under the name Luthrodes pandava. RNAcentral's name for it is "partial 16S ribosomal RNA". Lineage: Eukaryota; Metazoa; Arthropoda; Insecta; Lepidoptera; Lycaenidae. The record is from RNAcentral.